GACAACAUGAUUUUUAAGAGCCAAAGUAAUUUUGAUAUAUUGUAAGUUUGGGAACUACUGGUCUAAUACCCCUGACUUAAUAUCACAUUCCUGAUAAAUAUUACUAAAUAUAAGUCACAUCAUGUCUGAUUCAUCAUACUUAUAUUUUGCACCUUCUUACCUUCAUCUGUUAUUAGUUUAUUGCUUUUUCAACUUAUAUUUUAGAUUAAGCGUACAUAUGCAGGUUUGUUACAUGGUAUACUGCAUGAUGCUGAGGUUUGCGGUAUGAUUGAACCUGUCACCCAGGUAGAGAGCAUAGCACCCAACAGGUAGUUUUUCAACUCUUGCCCCCUCUCUCCCUCCUCCAAAAUCUGUCUUAAGUGCUAUGGUAUAUACAAGAAGGAAGACACAGAAACACAUGGGCUUUUUUUUUUUUUUUGAGAUGGAGUCUCACUUUGUUGCCAGGCUGGAGUGCAGUGGUGCGAUCUCAGCUCACCGCAACCUCCACCUCCCAGAUUCAAGUGAUUCUCCUGCCUCAGCCUCCCAAGUAGCUGGGACUACAGGUGCGCACCAUCAUGACCAGCUAAUUUUCGUACUUUUAGUAGAGACGGGGUUUCACCAUGUUGGCUAGGAUGGUCUCCAUCUCUUGACCUCAUGAUCCGCACACCUCGGCCUCUCAAAGUGCUGGGAUUAUAGGCGUGACACUCUGCGCCCAGCCCACAUGGGCUCUUUUAUCUCAAUGUGUGUGUGUGUGUGUGUGUGUGUGUGUGCAUAUUAUAGGUGUGUGUAGGAAAAAGAAUGUUAAAAAUGUACCAAUUUUGAAGGCGUAGACUAUGAAAUUACAAAUGCUUCAACAUUUUCUUCCCAAUACUUAUGUGGCAUUUUACAAAUUUCCAUCAAUAAAUGUGUAUUAUUUUUAUUGAAAAAGCAUAUUUUUAACAUGCCCUUCUAGAUGCCCUCCUAGCCAGACUGAAUCACCUCCCAUCUGAUUUUUCUUAAUUUUCUACCUUUAGGUUCUGGCUCAUUCAUUAACAUCAAUUUCCAUUCAUAAGUCCUCACAAACCCACUUUUCCUCUUGCCUGAGUGCCUCACAUACCCUACUGCUUGAGAUGGUUCCAGAGGCGGUCUCCUCUCUCCGUUAGAAACACCAGGCACACACCUGCCCCCAGUCUCGCCUGCACUCUCCUUUCCUCCCGCAGAGAGGCAUUCCUUUCUCCUCCUCUCAUCCUACACACCCUAUAAGAGAUAACCGAAAUCUUGCCUCCUCCAGCCAGCUUCUUAAUUCAUUUGUUCUCAAAGCCCUGGUUUGAGCUCACACAGCAUCUAGAGUGUUUUACAAAAUAUAAAAUAUUAUUAUCCCUGCCCCCAAUUUUUUGUUUUGGUUUGUGUGUUAUUUUCCCCUCCAAUAAGAUUGUGCCUUGGAGAGGGCUGGGAACAUAGUAUCAUAGAUAAAUGAAUAAAAUAACAUAAAAUAAAAUAAAAAUACAUAUACCCUUUGAACUAACUAUUCCACUUCUAUGUAAGCACAAUUAGAUGCAAGUAACACUCAUUUUAACACUACUGUAGUGGCAAAAAAUUGUAAACUCCUCAAAUGCCUAUUAAAAGAGGAAUGGUUUAAAGACACUAUUAUAGCCACACUAUGAAAUAUAAUACAGUAGUUAAGAAGAACGAGCUUGAUUUAUAUGUACUGACAAGAAGAAUCUAUAAGGUAUGUAAACAGUUGAAAAAAAAGCUACAGAGUUUUACAUUUGUCAAGAUCUAACACUAAACAAAAUUAGAAAUAUGUGAAAUCCAUAUACACAGGUAAAAAAAUACAUAUAAUGAGUCGUGGACGGAAACUCGCAAAUGUGAUAUUAAAGACUGGCACUAUAAGACUGAGUGAGAUUUGGAGAGUAUAGGAAAGGAGGCUUUUAGUUAAUAUAGGGAGAUAUUCAAAAAUUUAUGAGUGUGAUCUCAUGUAUUAGUUAUUCAGUUAAAGAAAGAAAAUUAAAUGAAAAAUUCAUUUUUAAAAAGGUUGCAAUCCUGAAUUAUGGGAAAGAAAUAAAAAUUAGCAAAACAUAUUUGCAAAGUGCCUCAGGAGGAAGGAGCUGAAACCCUAAAAAUGGGUGAGAUUUUUUUUUCAGGGACAAUACAGAAAAGAAGAGGCAAAGGGGCUGAGAUGGGAUACAGACGUGUAUCACACAGGCGUGUGCACAUUCUCAUUUAGAACUGGAACAAGGGAGUCAGAUUUAAAAUUCUGGUGCAGAUUCCAAAGGUGUUCUCUGAGGAAAAGUUAUUUUGUUUGGAGAUGCCAUGUGUUACAGUACAGAAAUGGAUAAACCUGGCUUAGAGCGUCACAUUCUUCCUCUGCUGGAGCAAGAGGUACAGAAGGAAUUGGAAUUUAGUGGAAUUGAAGAUCUUUUUGAACAGCAUCUACAGAAUGUAGUUCAUUCUUACCUGGCUGGGUAGGGAAGGUUGGAAGGGGAUGGUCAAUAAUCAUUCCUGGUCACUGUGAGUCUGGUAUCACCUUGUAGACCACAUGGGUGUCUCUUCCUGUCCAUAUCACUGUAACCCCAGUGUGGGCACUCCUGCUGGCCAGAAGGCCCAGGUUCUCUACACAUCACUGAGUCAGUCCCAUCUCCCCAGUGGGGCACCUUGACCAAAGCCAUCAGCUGAACCACCUUCUUCCUGUCCCUAGGAGAGAACCCUGAUCCGUGGGCUAAGAAUCUGAAGAAAGAAGACUAUGCGUUGCUGUGCCUCGAUGGUUCCAGGAAACCUGUGUGGGAGUUUAAGAAAUGCCACCUGGCCAGAGCCCCGAAUCAUGCUGUGGUCACACGUAAAGAUAAGGAAGAUUGUGUCUACAAGGUGUUACUUAACCAGCAGCGCCUAUUUGGAAGCAACGUAACUGACUGCUCGGGCAACUUUUGUUUGUUCCGGUCCGAAACCAAGGACCUUCUGUUCAGAGAUGACACAGUAUGUUUGGCCAAACUUCAUGACAGAAACACAUAUGAAAAAUACUUAGGAGAAGAAUAUGUCAAGGCUGUUGGUAACCUGAGAAAAUGCUCCACCUCACGUGAGUAGGAGGAACAGCAUGGGGAAGUGGCAACCAAACAUGGUGCUGAGUGCUGGGGUGGUGGGUACAGGAGGGGUAGGCUGUGGCCCUUGGGAUAGGACAACAUGGACAAAAUGAAAUGGUGAGUGAACAAUCUAAGCCCGGCAUGUAUGACAGGCGAGGCUGUAUGGGCAGAUAGUAAGGGGAUACAGGCUCAGAGCACUAAGGUAGUGAGCUUAUUGGGCAUAGAGAAUUCCAUCUUAUUUCUAAGAAAAGGACUGGGUUUAUGUGUACAUGCCAUUGCUCUGCAGUAAACUUUUGAUUAGAGUUGCCUUGUCCAAUAGGGUAGCCACCAGCAAGAUGUGACUAUUUAAAUUUAAGUUAAUUAAAAUUAAACUAAAUAAAAGAUGUAUUUCUUCAAUCCCACCCAGCUGCAUUUCAAGUGCUCAACAGCCACAUGUGGCUCCAUAUUGGUCAGCAAAGAGAAUGUUUGCAUCAUCACAGAAAGCUCUUUCAGACAGCGCUGCUCUAGACAGCUUCAACAAUGAUAGGUUCUGGUAACCAUAAAGUUGCCAUGCAUACUACUCAUUUGGAACACCAGUUUCUGAGAACUGAAAUAGAAUAAAACACAUCUUUGCAGUAUAACUAUGUUGGGUGUAACUGAGUCACCUGAAAAAAUUUGGAAGCUGGGGAAUAACAUGUGGUGGUGUAGGGCAGUUAGUCUUUCCACAGGAGUAUGCAGAUAAGGGAGUCUUGAUCCUUAUUAAAAUGCUGAUUAUCAGAGCCUUGAGAUACUGAUUUAGAAAGUCUGUGCUAGGUCAGGUAUCCACAUUUUAAAAGUUGCCCCCAUGUAAUUCUGACAGAAGCAGCAAUGUGCUUGUCUACGUUCGCUAUUGUGAGAAUCAAGUUGAUGUUUACCUAACCUAUAUCCUCCACAAAAGCAGACAGUCUGGCUCUGCUCUUCUUUCCUCCAUCCUUAGCCCACAGCACAGUAACUGGCACAUUGCAGGUGCUUUUUGCUAUGUCAGUUCCUCACCUGCUUAAAGAGGUCAGGGAGGACAGUCUUCCUGGGCGACUCCCGGCCUCACGAACUCAGAUGUGUGAGCCUCGCCCAUAAGAAACAAGGUGGGGAACCCUGUAGGGCAGGAAAAUCAUGUUACAGCUUUGGCAUGGGGCACUCCCCAGGAUAGGCACAGGAGCUGUGCAGGCAAGUAGAAAAGAGCACUGGGAGAACGGCCCAGUUCACAGAAGAGGAGGCAGCAAGUCUGCACACUUUGUACUAUGCUGAAAUUGUUCAAUCACUUGACAGUUCAGAAAUAAAUAUAGGAAGAUUUUGAAAAUCCUACCUCUCUCCUCUGCUCCACAGCACUCCUGGAAGCCUGCGCUUUCCGUAGACCUUAAAAUCUCAGAGGUAGGGCUGCCACCAAGGUGAAGAUGGGAACGCAGAUGAUCCAUGAGUUUGCCCUGGUUUCACUGGCCCGAGUGGUUUGUGCUAACCACGUCUGUCUUCACAGCUCUGUGUUGCCAUGUGUGCUGAACAAAAAAUAAAAAUUAUUAUUGAUUUU
RNAcentral lists this small RNA (4575 nucleotides) under Pongo abelii (Sumatran orangutan). RNAcentral describes it as "retained intron". The record is from RNAcentral. Lineage: Eukaryota; Metazoa; Chordata; Mammalia; Primates; Hominidae.